Molecule: long non-coding RNA, 322 nt
Filed under: Theobroma cacao (cacao)
Lineage: Eukaryota; Viridiplantae; Streptophyta; Magnoliopsida; Malvales; Malvaceae
Description: long non-coding RNA (TCAC_LNC000529)
Source: RNAcentral
CACUUUUCCUCAAUAUAAGUGGUCAUCGGUUGAUUUGGACUCCUCGGUGGCAACUGUUUCAAAAGAGAUCAUAUCUGCACCCAGAAUAAGCCAUUGAUGAGAUAUACUUGCAUUUACCCUUUCUUGAUCACUGUCAUUGGGUGAAAGAAUCCUUUUGUCACCAAUAAUGGGGUUGUUGUAAAUAGGGUCAUCACACUGAACAUCUACUAAGACAACAGUUGUGGCAUGUUCUAUACCACCAUUCACAUGCUUACAAUCCGAAUAUCAUUGUCAUCACCCAUGUCAUCCUUUAAACAAUCAUUAUGCCCGCCAACAUAAUCAU